This 406-nucleotide RNase P RNA is filed under the name Phenylobacterium sp. RNAcentral describes it as "RNase P RNA component class A". It matches the Rfam family "Bacterial RNase P class A". From Rfam's summary of the family: Ribonuclease P (RNase P) is a ubiquitous endoribonuclease, found in archaea, bacteria and eukarya as well as chloroplasts and mitochondria. Its best characterised activity is the generation of mature 5'-ends of tRNAs by cleaving the 5'-leader elements of precursor-tRNAs. The record is from RNAcentral. Lineage: Bacteria; Pseudomonadati; Pseudomonadota; Alphaproteobacteria; Caulobacterales; Caulobacteraceae.
UCAGACGGCCGGGCGGUCGCGGCGCUUUCGGGCGUCGAGGAAAGUCCGGGCUCCACGACGACAUGGCGGUGGGUAACGCCCACCGGGGGUGACCCCAGGGAUAGCGCCACAGAGAGCAGACCUCCUUCGCCUCGGCGGAGGGAAGGGUGAAAGGGUGGGGUAAGAGCCCACCGGGCCGCUGGUGACAGGGGCCGCAUGGCAAGCCCCGCCAGGAGCAAGACCGAAUAGGGAUCCCGCGUCCUCUCCCAUUCUUCGGAGCGGGAAGGGCAGGGCCGUCGCCGGCCCAGGGAUCCGGGUAGGUCGCGAGAACCGGCCGGCAACGGCCGGUCCAGAGGAAUGACCGUCACGCGCCUCCUUCGCGAGGAGAGGGUGCGGACAGAACCCGGCUUACAGGCCGUCUGAUCUC